GGAUGUGAGGGUGAUCUGGCUGCAUCUGUCACUCCAUUGACCACCAGGAUUGAUUUGGCUGAUCUGGCUGGCUAGGGAGGUGCUCCCUUCCUCUCUCACCCCUCCAUGUUUGACUCUUCUGGAGCUGCAUGCUUGGUCAAAGAGGAUGACCACUCUCAACAGAAGAAGGCAGUUUCUUCAGUCAAAAGUAUAAGAGUAGCUCUGCUCCCCUGCUAGAACCUCCAAAAAUAUAAGAGUAGCUCUGCUCCCCUGCUAGAAUCUCAAGUUAAUUAGGCAGCAGUAGUAGGGAUGAGGAGAAGGAUUAUAGAAACCUGUAGGAGGAAUAAUUAGUU
This 332-nucleotide small nuclear RNA is filed under the name Chinchilla lanigera (long-tailed chinchilla). Its description in RNAcentral is "7SK RNA (ENSCLAG00000022154.1)". It matches the Rfam family "7SK RNA". From Rfam's summary of the family: 7SK was discovered as an abundant small nuclear RNA in the mid-70s but a possible function has only recently been suggested. Two independent studies have found that 7SK RNA binds the CDK9/cyclin T complex (known as elongation factor P-TEFb). Lineage: Eukaryota; Metazoa; Chordata; Mammalia; Rodentia; Chinchillidae. The record is from Rfam by way of RNAcentral.